RNAcentral lists this ribosomal RNA (492 nucleotides) under uncultured bacterium. RNAcentral describes it as "partial 16S ribosomal RNA". It matches the Rfam family "Bacterial small subunit ribosomal RNA", at positions 29 to 507 of the family's 1533-position model. The record is from RNAcentral.
AGUGAACGCUGGCGGUAGGCCUAACACAUGCAAGUCGAACGGCAGCACAGUAAGAGCUUGCUCUUACGGGUGGCGAGUGGCGGACGGGUGAGGAAUACAUCGGAAUCUACUUUUUCGUGGGGGAUAACGUAGGGAAAUUUACGCUAAUACCGCAUACGACCUACGGGUGAAAGCAGGGGAUCUUCGGACCUUGCGCGAUUGAAUGAGCGGAUGUCGGAUUAGCUAGUUGGCGGGGUAAAGGCCCACCAAGGCGACGAUCCGUAGCUGGUCUGAGAGGAUGAUCAGCCACACUGGAACUGAGACACGGUCCAGACUCCUACGGGAGGCAGCAGUGGGGAAUAUUGGACAAUGGGCGCAAGCCUGAUCCAGCCAUACCGCGUGGGUGAAGAAGGCCUUCGGGUUGUAAAGCCCUUUUGUUGGGAAAGAAAAGCAGCAGGUUAAUACCCCGCUGUUCUGACGGUACCCAAAGAAUAAGCACCGGCUAACUUCGUA